This is a non-coding RNA of Teladorsagia circumcincta, 116 nucleotides long. Lineage: Eukaryota; Metazoa; Nematoda; Chromadorea; Rhabditida; Trichostrongylidae. The record is from the annotation of a GenBank genome assembly.
UGCACGGAGUGGGAUUUGAACCCACGCACCCAUACGAGUACCAGAACGCCCAAUCCGCUUUCUCGCGGCAAGUGAAUGCUUGAGUCUGGCGCCUUAGACCACUCGGCCAUCCGUGC